RNAcentral lists this ribosomal RNA (253 nucleotides) under uncultured prokaryote. RNAcentral's name for it is "partial 16S ribosomal RNA". It matches the Rfam family "Bacterial small subunit ribosomal RNA", at positions 524 to 776 of the family's 1533-position model. The record is from RNAcentral.
UACGUAGGAUGCAAGCGUUGUCCGGAAUUACUGGGCGUAAAGGGCGCGCAGGCGGUCAGACAAGUCUGCUGUGAAAUCUCUGGGCUUAACCUGGAGGGGUCGGUGGAAACUGUCGGACUAGAGUGCAGGAGAGGUUCGUGGAAUUCCCGGCGUAGCGGUGAAAUGCGUAGAUAUCGGGAGGAACACCUGUGGCGAAAGCGGCGCACUGGACCACAACUGACGCUGAGGCACGAAAGCUAGGGGAGCAAACAGG